Molecule: ribosomal RNA, 253 nt
Filed under: uncultured bacterium
Lineage: Bacteria
Description: partial 16S ribosomal RNA
Rfam family: Bacterial small subunit ribosomal RNA
Source: RNAcentral
UACGGGGGAAGCAAGCGUUGUUCGGAUUUACUGGGCGUAAAGGGCGCGUAGGCGGCGUGACAAGUCACUUGUGAAAUCUCCGGGCUUAACCCGGAGCGGCCAAGUGAUACUGUCGUGCUAGAGUGCGGAAGGGGCUACUGGAAUUCUCGGUGUAGCGGUGAAAUGCGUAGAUAUCGAGAGGAACACCUGCGGCGAAGGCGGGUAGCUGGGCCGACACUGACGCUGAUGCGCGAAAGCCAGGGGAGCGAACGGG